Molecule: long non-coding RNA, 614 nt
Organism: Rhinopithecus roxellana (golden snub-nosed monkey)
Lineage: Eukaryota; Metazoa; Chordata; Mammalia; Primates; Cercopithecidae
Exons: 5
Source: RefSeq, a predicted model, not a curated record
AUUAACGUUGGAGUUGCAUGUCAUAGUAGCAAUUGUGGGUUUGUUUGCAGGUAAGUAGUAAAGAGAAAAUGGUAUCUCUAGCAGUGCUAUAGACCUUGGAGUACUGCAAGAUUUCAGGUAUACUUGAUGGUUCUUGCAAUGGUGGUAGUGAGUAAGCUUAAUUGCAGGGUUCUAGAAAAAAAGCUGUGUCUACAUACAUUUGUCAUAAUGUGUUUUUAGGAUCCUGUCAAGAAGUCAUGGUAAACCUCAUCAUGAUCAAGAACGAGACUUUGCUUGCAUCCAGGCUUUCCAAAAGUUGUUUGGUAGUAUACAGGCAUGAGGUGGUGUGACUCCAACUCAUUAGAUGCCUUCGUCUUUUCAGUUAUGUUCCUGUCAAGAGAUUAUAACAAACCUAACAAUGGUCAUUAUCAGGAGCUGUUUUUGGUAUCCAGGUUCCAGCCAGAAGAUCAUGUUGAACUUCAUAAUGACCAUUAAUGGGGGCUUUGCUUGUAGACAAGUGAUUAUGUGGGCCUUAAGCAUCCUACAGAUCAUGUGAUCUUCAGAUAUCUUGGCAUCCAGAUAAGAGUUGAUGGUGUCCCUAAUCAAGAUCAUGACCAUGGGAUUUUGCAGUUAGG